GAAAGACCCUGUCUUGAAAUAAAUUUGUUUUGCUUCAAUUUUUGAGACAGGGUCUCACUAUGCAGUUCAUACUGGCCUUGAAUGGACUAUGUAGCCCAGGAUGGCCUUGAAAUUGCAGUGAUCCUCCUGCCUCCACCUCCCGGGUGCUAGGAUUACAGGAGGGAGGUCAGCACAGGCCGGCUACCAGGCACCCUUCCCAGGCUUGCUCAAGGUGGUCUGCAAAGGGGCCGCAGACACAGGGCAGCUGAAAUGCUGCCCUUUGUGGGGAGACCUGCAUCUGUACCAGAAGCAAGUGGAGCGCAGGCAGACUUCCCUUGGUCUAGGAAAGCUCUUGUCACCGGAAGAAGACGCUGGGUUCUGACCCCUUCCCAGAAAGAGAUUACACAAAUGGCCUCCUGACCACUGUCACCUGGAAGACUUUGCAGCCUUGAAGACCGCCUCUGAGGUGCACUGACCUCCCCUCACCCUGUCGUGCCCUUUUGCCACCUACUAUGAGGAGCCUUAAAUUUCUUUUUGUUUUGUUGUUUUUGGUACCAGGGAUUGAACUCAGGACUUCGCGCUUGCAAGGCAGGCUCGGUGCUGCUGUUAAAUU
RNAcentral lists this long non-coding RNA (592 nucleotides) under Heterocephalus glaber (naked mole-rat). RNAcentral's name for it is "lncRNA (ENSHGLG00000033086.1)". The record is from RNAcentral. Lineage: Eukaryota; Metazoa; Chordata; Mammalia; Rodentia; Bathyergidae.